GAUGAACGCUGGCGGCGUGCCUAAUACAUGCAAGUCGAGCGAACGGACGAGAAGCUUGCUUCUCUGAUGUUAGCGGCGGACGGGUGAGUAACACGUGGAUAACCUACCUAUAAGACUGGGAUAACUUCGGGAAACCGGAGCUAAUACCGGAUAAUAUUUUGAACCGCAUGGGUCAAAAGUGAAAGAAGGUCUUGCUGUCACAUAUAGAUGGAUCCGCGCUGCAUUAGCUAGUUGGUAAGGUAACGGCUUACCAAGGCAACGAUGCGUAGCCGACCUGAGAGGGUGAUCGGCCACACUGGAACUGAGACACGGUCCAGACUCCUACGGGAGGCAGCAGUAGGGAAUCUUCCGCAAUGGGCGAAAGCCUGACGGAGCAACGCCGCGUGAGUGAUGAAGGUCUUCGGAUCGUAAAACUCUGUUAUUAGGGAAGAACAUAUGUGUAAGUAACUGUGCACAUCUUGACGGUACCUAAUCAGAAAGCCACGGCUAACUACGUG
Molecule: ribosomal RNA, 497 nt
Filed under: uncultured bacterium
Lineage: Bacteria
Description: partial 16S ribosomal RNA
Rfam family: Bacterial small subunit ribosomal RNA
Source: RNAcentral